RNAcentral lists this ribosomal RNA (497 nucleotides) under uncultured bacterium. RNAcentral's name for it is "partial 16S ribosomal RNA". It matches the Rfam family "Bacterial small subunit ribosomal RNA", at positions 28 to 507 of the family's 1533-position model. The record is from RNAcentral.
GACGAACGCUGGCGGCGUGCCUAAUACAUGCAAGUCGAGCGCUGAAGCUUGGUACUUGUACCACCUGUAUGAGCAGCGAACGGGUGAGUAACGCGUGGGGAAUCUACCUUUGAGCGGGGGACAACAUUUGGAAACGAAUGCUAAUACCGCAUAAAAACUUUAAACACAAGUUUUAAGUUUGAAAGAUGCACUUGCAUCACUCAAAGAUUAUCCCGCGUUGUCUUAGCUAGUUGGUGAGGUAAAGGCUCAACAAGGCGAAGGAACAUAACCGACCUGGGGGGGUGGACGGCCCAAUUGGGAAUGAGAACAGGCCCAAACUUCCUAGGGGGGGAGGAGUAAGGAAGUCUUGGGAAUGGACGAAAGGCUGACCGGGCCACGCCGGGUUGGGGAAGAAGGGUUUCGGGUCGUAAAACUCUGUUGGUAGGGGAGAAACUUGGUGAGAGGGGAAAGCUCAUCAAGUGACGGUAACUAAUCAGAAAGGGACGGCUAACUACGUG